Molecule: ribosomal RNA, 594 nt
Filed under: Salmonella enterica subsp. enterica
Lineage: Bacteria; Pseudomonadati; Pseudomonadota; Gammaproteobacteria; Enterobacterales; Enterobacteriaceae
Description: partial 23S ribosomal RNA
Rfam family: Bacterial large subunit ribosomal RNA
Source: RNAcentral
AGACCCGAAACCCGGUGAUCUAGCCAUGGGCAGGUUGAAGGUUGGGUAACACUAACUGGAGGACCGAACCGACUAAUGUUGAAAAAUUAGCGGAUGACCUGUGGCUGGGGGUGAAAGGCCAAUCAAACCGGGAGAUAGCUGGUUCUCCCCGAAAGCUAUUUAGGUAGCGCCUCGUGAAUUCAUCUCCGGGGGUAGAGCACUGUUUCGGCUAGGGGGCCAUCCCGGCUUACCAACCCGAUGCAAACUGCGAAUACCGGAGAAUGUUAUCACGGGAGACACACGGCGGGUGCUAACGUCCGUCGUGAAGAGGGAAACAACCCAGACCGCCAGCUAAGGUCCCAAAGUCAUGGUUAAGUGGGAAACGAUGUGGGAAGGCCCAGACAGCCAGGAUGUUGGCUUAGAAGCAGCCAUCAUUUAAAGAAAGCGUAAUAGCUCACUGGUCGAGUCGGCCUGCGCGGAAGAUGUAACGGGGCUAAACCAUGCACCGAAGCUGCGGCAGCGAACGUAUCACUUAAAGCGAUUCAGCAGAUGACGAUUGACGGAGCGAAGCGACGUCAAAGCGUAUACAAAGUCGAGUCGGUUUAAGGAUACGUU